UGGAUAGUAACGGAAAAUCUGUUAGUAAUACAUGAACUAUGUUUAGUAUUCUACUAAAGAUAAUAGUAAGUACGUUUGCAUAUCUGCCACUGCAGCAUCAUCUUACGUUGGUGGGGUAUUUGCCUACCAAGGAUUCGACGCUUACGGGGAAUUAGGGUUUGACUCCGGAGAAUGAGCAUGAGAAACAGCUCAUACAUCUAAGGAAGGCAGCAGGCGCGGAAAUUGCCCAAUGUAUUCGUUACGAGGCAGUGACAAGAAAUGAAGGGUACUUUUGUACACCAUCUAGGGCCUGUUAUAUCUAAGCUAACCGGUUAUUCGUGGGAAAGCUCGGUGCCAGCAGCCGCGGUAAUUCCGACACGGAGAGUAUUCUAUUGUGUUGCUGCAGUUAAAAAGUUCGUAGUUUAUUUUCUUUUUCACUAUAAGUAAAUCUAAGUGUUUAUAACUACUUAACUGUUUUUAUAGUAUGAAAUUAUAAUGCGGUAUUUGGCGUAGUUUGGGGUACUCGAUAGGGACAGGUGAAAUAGGAUGAUCUAUCGAAGACCAACGGUAGCGGAGGCUCCCAACGCAGUCUAAGUAUCACGAUCAAGAACUAAAGUCAGGGGAUAGACGACGAUUAGAAACCGUUUUAUUCCUGACCCUAAACGAUGUCGCCUAGCUGAUGGGGUUUUUACUUCAUUUGCCAAGAGAAAUCGUAAGGUUUCAGACUCUGGGGGAAGUAUGAUCGCAAGGUUGAAACUUGAAGGGAUUGACGGAGAGGUACCACCAGACGUGGAGUCUGCGGCUCAAUUUGACUCAACACGCAAAUCUUACUAGGCCCAGAAGCUUUGAGGAUUGACAGAUGAGUGAUCUUUCAUGAUUAAGUUGUUGGUGGUGCAUGGCCGUUCUUAGUCCGUGAUUUAAAUUGUCUGCUUUAUUGCGAUAACGAACGAGACCUCUAUCAGAUUAAUUAUCUGAGACUGCUAGUGAUGAACUAGAGGAAGGCAGAGGCAAAAACAGGUCUGUGAUGCCCUUAGAAGCCCUAGGCCGCACGCGUACUACAAUGGCAGGUUCAUCGUGUUGCUUCCCUGAAAAUGGUGGCAGUUCAUUAAAACUUGUCGUGGUUAGGCUUGAAAAAA
RNAcentral lists this ribosomal RNA (1115 nucleotides) under Spironucleus salmonicida. Its description in RNAcentral is "partial small subunit ribosomal RNA". It matches the Rfam family "Eukaryotic small subunit ribosomal RNA", at positions 140 to 1585 of the family's 1831-position model. The record is from RNAcentral. Lineage: Eukaryota; Fornicata; Diplomonadida; Hexamitidae.